RNAcentral lists this long non-coding RNA (425 nucleotides) under Physcomitrium patens. RNAcentral describes it as "long non-coding RNA (PPAT_LNC006866)". The record is from RNAcentral. Lineage: Eukaryota; Viridiplantae; Streptophyta; Bryopsida; Funariales; Funariaceae.
UAGGAUUCUUUGGCACAUCAGAGAAUAUUAUUUAAUAGUUGAUUAAAUAAGGUUUAUAUAGGUGUUGAUUUUGGAUGAUUUGGAGAUGUUGUAAAUUUGUAAGAGCUUUGCAAAGUCAAGGUUUGUUUCAGAUGACUUGGAUUUUAUGAAAUAAAAUAGGAUUUACAUUUUGGAUGAUUUUGAGAGUUUUGUAGUAGAUCUAUGGAUGAAAUUUUUUGUGAGUUUAUGGUAAUAGUUGUGUUCAAUAUGUGUUGUGAAUUUGAGCUUGAUCUAAUGGUUGAAUUAAAGGAUAUUGAGGUUUAAGUGGGUCAAGGUCUUAGAAAGUAGAAUUUUAGGUCUAGUGAGGGUUUUUAAGCUUUCUUGCAAUCUACUUCUUGGAUUGGAAUAAAACUUAUGUAAAAAGAUAUUAGACUUAUUUUACUAUG